GAAUGAAAGGAUGAUUAUAUGUUUCCCUAUUGGUUUGAUCGCCGAGAUGAUGGCGAAUCUUUUGUAUUAGCUCUAUCUGAUUAUUC
This is a small nucleolar RNA of Vitis vinifera (wine grape), 86 nucleotides long. It matches the Rfam family "Small nucleolar RNA Z102/R77". From Rfam's summary of the family: Z102 and R77 and are members of the C/D class of snoRNA which contain the C (UGAUGA) and D (CUGA) box motifs. Most of the members of the box C/D family function in directing site-specific 2'-O-methylation of substrate RNAs. The record is from Rfam. NCBI's taxonomy places the organism in Eukaryota, Viridiplantae, Streptophyta, Magnoliopsida, Vitales, Vitaceae.